Grus americana (Whooping crane) is the source of this 2780-nucleotide long non-coding RNA. RefSeq lists it as uncharacterized. The transcript has 3 exons. NCBI's taxonomy places the organism in Eukaryota, Metazoa, Chordata, Aves, Gruiformes, Gruidae. The record is from RefSeq and is a predicted model, not a curated record.
GACAACAAGGCAUGGAGCACCUCCACAUGGGCGCCCCGCGCCGCCGCCGCGCGCCUUAAAGGGGCCGCGCCGCGCCGCGCCCCAACCGCCCGCCAGCGCCCCGCGGGUCGCAGAGCGGCCGGACCCGCGGCGCUGCCGGCCCGGUGGCGGGGUCCUGCCCCCAGGCUCCCGUCGGCCGCUCCCGGCUAGCGGGGCAGGCGCCCCGGGAGCGGCGGUUCACCGAAAUGCGCUUUUCUAACCACUCUUGCGGACCCCAGAGCUCUGUACCGUAUAUCAGCGUCAAUCACAGCAAUGCAGUACACAUCGGUCGUUAUUGCCAAGUCACCUUUAGAUACUCCGGCAGCCACGUGUAGGGACUGCAGCAGUGCGACGGUGCCGUCACCAUUGCUACGUGUUUCCUUCUGGCUACAUUCUCCCUUACACCGUUCGUAGUAUUCCUACAAUACACGGUGUGCGCUGCUACGGAAUUGCACGAGAGAGACUGGUUCGGCUGAACUGAACCACGACGUCGUUCCGGCACUCAGAAACACUCACUGGGCUCCCAGCGGCCACGCUCGGUGCUGGUGUUUUGGGGCCCGCUGCUAAAUCCUGUCGUCUUCGCUUGUGCAAUCUGAGCAUUUGUUCAGGUCUGGAUUUGCACUUUCGAUGUCUGUGCUAGAGCACAAGCAGGCAAUAUCAGCUUUGCAGAUUUCUAAGCAGGUAAAACCCUGACUUUCUGUUGUUUAUGGCAGAACAGGGAAAUGCUGUGUCGCAGUAACACACUGCCAUCGGCUGCAGAAAGUACUUCUGGAAUUGUUGAUAAAUAGUGGGGGGAAGGUCCAUCCAAAGUCCACAGAGUACGUGCUAACGUCUCCUGGGCUUGGGGAGCAAUAGCUGACUAAGAAAUGGGCACUGAACAUACUUCCCAAUCUGCUGCAAACUGCUGCCUGUGAUAAAAUACCUACUGGAACGAUAGAAUUUCAUCUAUGAAAUACACGGAGAAAUCCAAGUAUUCUCCACUGAGAACUGGAUUUGCCUCUACAUUGCUCUGAGUCACCUCUUAACUGUGUUAAAAUUGUGCCAAAUAAAAGAAUUCUGGAGAAGAAAGCUGCGGAGCGAUUUUGACGCACCAAACCCAAGCGUGCUGUCCUGCUGCGUGAACCUCAAACCCCAAAGAACAGGUUUAACGCUGGUCGGCCCGCCGGGUAAUCACUGAUCGCGCUGUAUUUCCUCGCUGCAGCAACGCAGGGGAACGGUGCCCGCCUGAGACUGCGAAGUUCACCCACGGCGUUUGGGAGGUCUCUGUACAUCGCGUUAGUCCUUGUCCUUAAAGCUGUGUCAGGCUACAACUAAAGUAAACCCAAACCCACCAAAAGAGCCCGUGCUGGUGGAACAGCCGAGUGAGAAACGAGGAUGCGGGAGUUCGGACGAGUGAACCUCAUCUGGGGGGGCCAGAGAGGGAUGGCUGGUGUAAAACAGGUCUGGAUUUACUGAGCGGGGGGGUAUCGGUACUCAGAGAGCCAGUGCUGCCAUUGGAGGGGACCCCCGCGCAUCCCCCCUAACAGAGACGCCGACCCCUGCUGUAAGUCCUUCCCUGCGGAGCCGCACGGCCGUGCAGUCCCUGCGCGGGGAGCGAUCUCCAUCCCCGUGUUUACAAAGCCAAGGGUGGGCAGGCGUGAUCGGGGCAGGACGCAAAGCGCCACGAGCAGCCAUCUGUUCCCAGCACCAAACGUUCCCUGCAAUAACCCCACUCUACAAGUCAGCCUCAGACGUGGUGUCGGUAACUGCUUGUGUCGGGAUACUGCACCGCCUUGGCAAAGGCCAGCGUAAAGACGGGUUUGCUAGCUGGCAUUGUGUGACUACGGUUACUGGGGGGUUCGUAGAUUGGGUCAAUCGUUUGAUGGAUGGAAUCUGGUGUAUUUAGGUGAGAUUAUUCCAGUGUUGCUGAACAGCGGCAUUUGGACUUGUUCCGAGCAGUGCUGCUCAGCCAUCAGGCUCCUCUCGGGGGAGGCUGUGACCUCUGCGGGACGCAGGAACUGGUCUAAAGAAAAUGGGAGGAAAAAUAUUUGCUGCUCCCUGCAAGUUCAUUUAAAUUGAAGACUCAGCAAAAGAACACUUAAUAGAUGUUUCUUGCUUUUGAUGAUUUAACCAAAGCUGACCCAGCGCAAGAGGAAUAAUCAACGCAUUCUGCCCUGUUUGCUACCGCCAGUAAAGAUACAGAAUAUUAAAAGUAAAAUGAAGUUGUUAGAGAAAUUGCAAACCUACCAUCAAUGUCUGCACAUGCCUUAAAUCCAUACAGGAGAGUAUUAAGAUCUUCGGAGACAAAGUCUCUGCACAACGACAGUGCAAACACCCAUUUAAAUAACUUCAGUGUCAACAUGCUAUUUUAUUUUUAAAUGCAUUCUACAAUAUACAGAUGUGAAAAUAGAAGGUUUUGAAUGGCACAAGCCAAUUCAGUUUGACAAAAGUUCUGAAAAAGGAUUUCACUUAGAUUUAUGAUAAACACCUGCACAGUUCAUAAAAAUACAAUUUUCCCUUUCCAUCUAUAUGUACUCAUGCUUGUAUUGAACACGUCUAUAUCAUAAUAUAUGGCCACAUUAAAACGUAAUGAUAGCAAAAGCAGGCUUUAAGGAACAGCAGCUCUAAAAAUCAUGCUUUGUGCUUGCAGUAGGAUAACACUAUUGGUUACUAUAAAAUAAAACCUCGAUAACAUAAUGUAAUGUUGGAAAAGACACCCCCCCUCUCUUUUUUAAAGCAGACACUAAGAAGUAAAAGAGUUCAAAGUUUUCCUGUAUCUUAAA